CUACGCACUCCUACGGGAGGCAGCAGUGGGGAAUAUUGCACAAUGGGCGCAAGCCUGAUGCAGCCAUGCCGCGUGUAUGAAGAAGGCCUUCGGGUUAUAAAGUACUUUCAGCAGUGAGGAAGGUGGAUAUGUUAAUAGCAUAUUCAUUUGACGUUAGCUGCAGAAGAAGCACCGGCUAACUCCGUGCCAGCAGCCGCGGUAAUACGGAGGGUGCGAGCGUUAAUCGGAAUUACUGGGCGUAAAGCGCAUGCAGGUGGUUUGUUAAGUCAGAUGUGAAAGCCCGGGGCUCAACCUCGGAAUUGCAUUUGAAACUGGCAAACUAGAGUACUGUAGAGGGGGUAGAAUUUCAGGUGUAGCGGUGAAAUGCGUAGAGAUCUGAAGGAAUACCGGUGGCGAAGGCGGCCCCCUGGACAGAUACUGACACUCAGAUGCGAAAGCGUGGGGAGCAAACAGGAUUAGAUACCCUGGUAG
This 471-nucleotide ribosomal RNA is filed under the name uncultured bacterium. RNAcentral describes it as "bacterial SSU rRNA". It matches the Rfam family "Bacterial small subunit ribosomal RNA", at positions 329 to 793 of the family's 1533-position model. The record is from RNAcentral.